RNAcentral lists this ribosomal RNA (241 nucleotides) under uncultured bacterium. RNAcentral describes it as "partial 16S ribosomal RNA". It matches the Rfam family "Bacterial small subunit ribosomal RNA", at positions 536 to 776 of the family's 1533-position model. The record is from RNAcentral.
AAGCGUUGUCCGGAAUUAUUGGGCGUAAAGAGCUCGUAGGCGGUUUGUCGCGUCUGCUGUGAAAACCUAAGGCUCAACCUUGGGCUUGCAGUGGGUACGGGCAGACUAGAGUGCGGUAGGGGUGACUGGAAUUCCUGGUGUAGCGGUGGAAUGCGCAGAUAUCAGGAGGAACACCGAUGGCGAAGGCAGGUCACUGGGCCGCAACUGACGCUGAGGAGCGAAAGCAUGGGGAGCGAACAGG